AAAGGAGAUACUUGUACGGCAAUCUCUAUGAUCAGCUGGUGGACUAGCACGCAUCAAGAAGUUUUUACGCAUGCAUCUCAAUGCAAGUUGAGCGACGUGUUUGCUUGGCAGCGACAAUCUAUACGGCAUUGAUCACCUAAAAUAUUAAUCAUGAUGGACUAAUUAAUCCUACGACUAAUUAAUCCUAGUGGAUGAAAUUGUUUCCAUCAUGC
RNAcentral lists this long non-coding RNA (212 nucleotides) under Phoenix dactylifera (date palm). RNAcentral's name for it is "long non-coding RNA (PDAC_LNC000793)". The record is from RNAcentral. Lineage: Eukaryota; Viridiplantae; Streptophyta; Magnoliopsida; Arecales; Arecaceae.